This 221-nucleotide unclassified non-coding RNA is filed under the name plant metagenome. RNAcentral's name for it is "partial contains small subunit ribosomal RNA, internal transcribed spacer 1, and 5.8S ribosomal RNA". The record is from RNAcentral.
UCUCCGUAGGUGAACCAGCGGAGGGAUCAUUACAGAGUUCGUGCCCUCGCGGGUAGAUCUCCCACCCUGUGUUAUUGCUACCUUUGUUGCUUUGGCGGGCCGCCCUCGGCUACCGGCCCCGGCUGGUACGCGCCCGCUAGAGGACCCCAACCCCUGAACGUCAGUGUCUUCUGAGUACUAUACAAUAGUUAAAACUUUCAACAACGGAUCUCUUGGUUCUG